Non-coding RNA from Methylobacterium radiotolerans JCM 2831, 117 nucleotides. The record is from Rfam. Lineage: Bacteria; Pseudomonadati; Pseudomonadota; Alphaproteobacteria; Hyphomicrobiales; Methylobacteriaceae.
AGCCUAUUUUGCGAUGGCGGAGCUCGACCGCCGGUCGCGGACAUGAUCGCCUUCAUCGACGAUCACCGGGAGGCCUACGGGGUCGAGCCGAUCUGCCGCGUGCUGCCGAUCGCCCCG